Molecule: ribosomal RNA, 497 nt
Filed under: uncultured bacterium
Lineage: Bacteria
Description: partial 16S ribosomal RNA
Rfam family: Bacterial small subunit ribosomal RNA
Source: RNAcentral
GAUGAACGCUGGCGGCGUGCCUAAUACAUGCAAGUCGAGCGAACAGACGAGGAGCUUGCUCCUCUGACGUUAGCGGCGGACGGGUGAGUAACACGUGGAUAACCUACCUAUAAGACUGGGAUAACUUCGGGAAACCGGAGCUAAUACCGGAUAAUAUAUUGAACCGCAUGGUUCAAUAGUGAAAGACGGUUUUGCUGUCACUUAUAGAUGGAUCCGCGCCGCAUUAGCUAGUUGGUAAGGUAACGGCUUACCAAGGCAACGAUGCGUAGCCGACCUGAGAGGGUGAUCGGCCACACUGGAACUGAGACACGGUACAGACUCCUACGGGAGGCAGCAGUAGGGAAUCGUCCGCAAUGGGCGAAAGCCUGACGGAGCAACGCCGCGUGAGUGAUGAAGGUCUUCGGAUCGUAAAACUCUGUUAUUAGGGAAGAACAAAUGUGUAAGUAACUAUGCACGUCUUGACGGUACCUAAUCAGAAAGCCACGGCUAACUACGUG